AUACGUAGGGGGCGAGCGUUGUCCGGAAUUAUUGGGCGUAAAGGGCGUGUAGACGGUCACAUAAGUUACAGGUGAAAGCCCAUUUUUCAAGGAUGGAACUGCCUGUAAGACUGUAAGACUUGAGUGCAGGAGAGGGAAGCGGAAUUCCAAGUGUAGCGGUGAAAUGCGUAGAGAUCGGGAGGAACACCAGUGGCGAAGGCGGGUAACUGGACUGCAACUGACGCUGAGGCGCGAAAGUGUGGGGAGCAAAUAGGAUUAGAUACCCUGGUAGUCCACACUGUAAACGAUGAAUGCUAGGUGUAAGAGGUAUCGACCCCUUUUGUGCCGGAGUCAACACAAUAAGCAUUCCGCCUGGGGAGUACGGCCGCAAGGUUGAAACUCAAAGGAAUUGGCGGGG
Molecule: ribosomal RNA, 397 nt
Filed under: uncultured bacterium
Lineage: Bacteria
Description: partial 16S ribosomal RNA
Rfam family: Bacterial small subunit ribosomal RNA
Source: RNAcentral